RNAcentral lists this ribosomal RNA (738 nucleotides) under Pyrenula rubronitidula. RNAcentral's name for it is "LSU rRNA". It matches the Rfam family "Eukaryotic large subunit ribosomal RNA", at positions 421 to 1005 of the family's 3401-position model. The record is from RNAcentral. Lineage: Eukaryota; Fungi; Ascomycota; Eurotiomycetes; Pyrenulales; Pyrenulaceae.
GCUUGCAGCCAGACUUGUAGAUGGUUAUUCAGCCGUUAUUCUUAACGGUGCACUUUUCCCUCUCCAGGCUAGCAUCGGUUCCGACAGCUACUUAAAGGCUUCGGGAAUGUAUCGAUCCUCCGGGGUUGACUUAUAGCCCGGGGUGCCAUGUAGUUCGCCGAGACCGAGGACCGCGUUCUGCACGGAUGCUGGCAUAAUGGCUGUAAGCGACCCGUCUUGAAACACGGACCAAGGAGUCUAACAUCUAUGCGAGUGUUCGGGUGUUAAACCCUUGCGCGUAAUGAAAGUGAAUGGAGGUAGGAGCCUUUACGGUGCACUAUCGACCGAUCUUGAUGUAUUCGGAUGGAUUUGAGUAAGAGCAUAGCUGUUGGGACCCGAAAGAUGGUGAACUAUGCGUGUAUAGGGUGAAGCCAGAGGAAACUCUGGUGGAGGCUCGCAGCGGUUCUGACGUGCAAAUCGAUCGUCAAAUACGCGUAUAGGGGCGAAAGACUAAUCGAACCAUUUGAAAGUAAUGUAGUGAAUAGUUUUGUUUAUCACCAGGUGGUUCCUUUGCAGGGAACACUCACCCUGCUUCAACCUAUUAUUACAGGUUACACCGUUAGUUUGGCGGGAACUCUUGCAAAAGAUAUCCGCAGCAGUAUCUUCUAUCGCACGAAGUCUGUUCACAGACUAUAGAACGGUGGUCAGAGGUGAAAAUCUCUGAUAAAUAUAUAGCCGGACGAAAUUACGAGGCGGAAG